RNAcentral lists this ribosomal RNA (209 nucleotides) under uncultured bacterium. RNAcentral describes it as "partial 16S ribosomal RNA". It matches the Rfam family "Bacterial small subunit ribosomal RNA", at positions 568 to 774 of the family's 1533-position model. The record is from RNAcentral.
UGCGUAGGCGGUUAUUUAAGUAGGGUGUGAAAUGCCCCGGCUCAACCGGGGAACUGCGCUCUAAACUGGGUAACUUGAGUGAGAUAGAGGUGUGCGGAACUUCCGGUGGAGCGGUGAAAAAUGUGUUGAUAUCGGAGGGAACACCAUUGGCGAAAGCGGCACACUGGGUCUCAACUGACGCUGAGGCACGAAAGCCAGGGGAGCAAACG